UACAGAGGGUGCGAGCGUUAAUCGGAAUUACUGGGCGUAAAGCGUGCGCAGGCGGUUUUGUAAGUCUGUCGUGAAAUCCCCGGGCUCAACCUGGGAAUUGCGAUGGAGACUGCAAGGCUAGAAUCUGGCAGAGGGGGGGUAGAAUUCCACGUGUAGCAGUGAAAUGCGUAGAUAUGCGGAGGAACACCGAUGGCGAAGGCAAUCCCCUGGGCCUGCACUGACGCUCAUGCACGAAAGCGUGGGGAGCAAACAGG
Molecule: ribosomal RNA, 254 nt
Filed under: uncultured bacterium
Lineage: Bacteria
Description: partial 16S ribosomal RNA
Rfam family: Bacterial small subunit ribosomal RNA
Source: RNAcentral